GACGAACGCUGGCGGCGUGCUUAACACAUGCAAGUCGAACGGAAAGGCCCUGCUUUUGUGGGGUGCUCGAGUGGCGAACGGGUGAGUAACAAGUGAGUAAACUGCCCUUGACUUUGGGAUAAAUUCAGGAAACUGGGGCUAAUACCGGAUAGGAGCUCCUGCUGCAUGGUGGGGGUUGGAAAGUUUCGGCGGUUGGGGAUGGACUCGCGGCUUAUCAGCUUGUUGGUGGGGUAGUGGCUUACCAAGGCUUUGACGGGUAGCCGGCCUGAGAGGGUGACCGGCCACAUUGGGACUGAGAUACGGCCCAGACUCCUACGGGAGGCAGCAGUGGGGAAUAUUGCACAAUGGGCGGAAGCCUGAUGCAGCAACGCCGCGUGCGGGAUGACGGCCUUCGGGUUGUAAACCGCUUUCGCCUGUGACGAAGCGUGAGUGACGGUAAUGGGUAAAGAAGCACCGGCUAACUACGUG
This 468-nucleotide ribosomal RNA is filed under the name uncultured bacterium. Its description in RNAcentral is "partial 16S ribosomal RNA". It matches the Rfam family "Bacterial small subunit ribosomal RNA", at positions 28 to 507 of the family's 1533-position model. The record is from RNAcentral.